AGGUGGUAGAUUCUGAAGAUUGUUGCUAACCCAGGGCUCAUCCUCUUUUGAGUCAUGGAUUCAGAGGACUGCUAGCAAGCUCCUAAAUACUUCUGCUUUGUAUAAUUUAGUGGAUGGGACUGCAGGACUCACAGAAGCCUGUGAAAGGUUUUCAGAACAUGGAUUAAUUGAAUAUUGAAUAAUCGUUGACUCUUUUGAAUAUACUAGUCCCUUUGAGGAAGAAAGGCUAUUUUACUGACGGAAGCCAUUUGUAAGGCACUUUUAAAAGUUUAAAAAGCCCAGUUACUGCAGUUACUGCCCAUCUGUAUUUAUUUUGACUAUCACUCCAUCUUCUUGUGUGAAGGAAAUGACUAUAUGGUUUCAACAAAGAAAAAGUUUUGCCAACUCCUUUUAACUGAAGAAACUUCACCCACGUGUCACUCCUAACUGGGUUUUUGUCUUCCUGACUACUCGCAAGGGGAAACUACCCCAUGAAGGAUACUAACCCUUCCGGCAGUAUCUGUGAUGUGUCUCAUUCAGAACCCGGUGGGCUCUCCACAGCUGAACGACAGUCCUUUUAUCUAGGGAAAGAGAAGGAGUCCAGUUACUGGAAACAGUGAGUGCAGCUUCAGAAAUUGUUGUCUCUCCCGAGUGGAGAAGUUGUUUGACCUCCUGACUCAUUUCAUAGGAAUUGGAGAAAACAACCUAGUGUGGUUUUCACUGUUAGUCCUGGAGGAUUCCAAAAUCUGUGUGUCUGCAAAUGCGAUGAGCUGGAGGAAGGCAGUGUUGCCACUUGCUGUUUCUACUUGCCUGCUCUCCUAAUGGAAUUCAGUCCCUUACCUCCAGACAAGUCCAGCCUGUUCCUGGGGAUCCCUUGUGUGGCCGUUCAGUGGUUCCAGCACCAGUCUCCGAAGAUCCCCAAGGCCCACUUCACUGCCCCAGACUCCAUCUCUGCCUGCGCUCCUCUGUCUUCCUCAUCUGCUCACCUGCUAAUAACCUGUGCAUUCUGAAGAGUCAUCUCAGGUAUCACCUCCUCCAGGGAGCCCUCUGCCUUAGGAGACGGAAUUGAGCAAUGUUCUCUGAGAACACGCUGUGCUCCUUGGAGCCCUGAGUGAAUGUGAUGUUUAGAAGAUGCUCUAGAAGCUUGGAAGUGCCUCUUGGGAAUAGAGCGAAGGGGGUGGAGACGGGGUAGCGAAGACACCGCGGCCGCCCCAGAGGAGCAGUGACUCACCCUGCCUGCCUAGCCGGGGACUUCAGGCCUCGAGACGCCCACGGCCAAGGACUCAGUUCCCCUUGAGCCCCACCGUGAACCUGUGACCUUUAAUGGACCCACAGGCCACCUCCGCGUCCACAAGAACCACAGAGAAGGACGCAUCAGGGCCCUGGCUCUCUACCAGCGGCCUCCCCGAGCCCCUAGGCAGACAGUGCUGUAUAAAGACAAAACACCCUGAACCAAGAAAUGGAGCCACUUUCCUGAGGAGAAAAAGCCAAAGGAAGAUUCCCGCCCGAGUCUAGGUGGCCCACAAGCAGCCGUCACAUCACGUAUCACUUUGCUAACAGCUCGGCCAUGGUGUUACCAUGUCAGGAAUAUCAAUUAAGCAUGUCCGACAAGAUCUGCUGGUCGGAGGAGCUGCCCGCGGUGCCAGUGCUGCUCUUCUGAACAAAUGCUCCCUGAGGAUUUCCGUGCCUGGAACUUCUCAACAGACUGCUGUGACACCUAAUGUAAGUAGAGGCUCUUGCUCCUAAAUCAGUCUCAAGGGAGCUUUGUUCUAUUUUGUUCCUGGAGGAUCCCCCCAGUAAAGUUUUUUAAAUGGUCAUCAGUGUUCCUUCUCUGUUUCUUUUCUGUGAAACACUCAACUUCCGAUUUACUAUCAGAAAAAGACUAUGACAUGAACACCUGCUUAGAAGCAAGGAUAUGGGAUCCCAUAUUCGGGUCUCAGAAUGGGAAGAGGAGAAGGCAGAAAAUAUUGAAGCUGCUCACUCCAGGCAGUUCAGUUGGAGAUGCCAUUCGUAGGCCCAAGGGCAUCUUUUCAGGGUUUAGUACUCAUCAGACUCCUGUGCAGAGUGACUGAGGAAAUGUGCCCCAUACAGCUCAGGGGUGAGCCCCCGUGAUGUGGGGGCCCUUCUGUUUGGCAGCCGGGGCUGCUCUCAUAGCCACGUCUCCGCUUAUAACACGCAGAAGGAAAACCUGUCCCUUGUUUAUCAUCAUCACCAUCCCUUACUGAAUGUGUACACGUGCCAUUUCUAGUUCUGCUUGCUUCUCCUCGGUCUGCACCCUCACAUCAGCCUUCCGUGGUGUGGGUCCUCAUAGUACACAGGUGUGAUUUCCCAGAUGGGGAGACCAAGGCAUGGAGAGUCAAGUAACUUCCCCCAGGUUGUGCAGGGAGUGAGUUUCGGCUCCACAAGGCUGCGCUGGACCAGCCCACCAAAUGCCCCACAGAAACAGGCAGCUUUGGAGGAUGAGCAGUGGGGCUGAUCUGGAGACAAGUGUUUCAGCGCUGCCAUAACCCCCUGUGGGAAGGGGCUGCUGGACUUAAAAAAGUCUGGAGCUUCCUUAAGAUUAGUGGGAGAACAAAGCUUUAGAGAAGACCUAACUUAAGUUUAAGGUCACACUGCAAGUCAGAGCGUAGCUGAGGGCCCUGGGCCAACCUACCAAUUUCCGAGUAUUCGCCUUCCUCUUGGUCAUCAGGUGCCACUUCUGGUAAUAGUGGCCAAGGCUGGUUCCAGUGAUGUGCGUAUGUGCCUACUGGUGAGGCCCUGCAGCACAGAGCCAGUUUGUGUUCAGAGACCCACACGGCCAUGUGAAGAUUGGCUGCUACAGUAUCCGAGCAGCAAAGAAGGAUGACUAAGAGCCUGGGCCUGGAAUCAAGCAAGGGAGUCUGAUCCCUCGUCUUGUCAGUCCUAAGCUUUUUGACCAGAGCGAGUCCUGCACCCUCACUUAAUCUCUGUUCUUGUACCUGGAAACUGGAAAUAAUUCCACAGCCUUGUAGGCGGAUGAACAUGAGAAAAUGCAUAGAAAGCAUGUAGCACCGUGUUUGGCCCAGAGUAAGUCUUCCAAAAGUGGAAGCUAUUAUCCAGAGAACCUUUCCAUCCACUUUUCAGUUCAUGUUGGCCUUCCCCCUACAAAGGCACUACAGUGUCCCAACCCAUCUAAGAAAACAACGUUUGAGUGCAGUGCUUUAAAAAUUACAGAUGUUUCCUCAUACUGAAAUCCUGAUGCCUUUAAGAACCACUGCAGGACCAGAAUCUGUAACUCCAUUCUCUAGAUCGGCAUAAGAAGGCCCAGCAAAAUUAAAUGAUGGCCCAAGAUCCCACAGCUAGUCGAUAGCACAGCCCAGCGCCUGAUCCUGUGACUCUUACUCAUCCACUUCCUGUAAGAAAAUACUCAUUAAAGGCACGUAAGUCAAUAGAGAACCACCUCCCACCGUAGGACCCAGCACCUUCCAACCGAUAAAAGAGUUGUAACUUUAGUCCUAAAUACUCAGGCUAGGACUCUCAUAUCCCGACGUCUGUUAACAUUUUGAAGCUGCCUUCUCAAAGAAGUGUCAUAGUCAGAUACCAUCUUGUGAAAUCCUCAGGCCCCAAGGGACAUUAUCUUAAUCUGGUUAGCUCAUGCAAGAACCAACUAGCAGUUCACUUCGAGGAAGACAACAUGUUUCCGCUGUUCUGCUUUUGCCACACAGGAGGUACCGGUGUGGCUCCCCGGUUCACAUUUCUGGCUCUAACUCUCCUAUUAGAUCUGGAAGAAAAAAUACAGAGAAGGGCAACCUGUUCAAAAACAGCAUGAAGGUAAAGAAUCGCAGGUGGGAUUUUGAAACAGAAACGCAUCCUUGUGGCCCCUGGGCUGAGAGACACCAAGGAAGGAUUUUGUUCUUGAAAGGUGGUUACUUGGCUCCUAGAGAUGGAGACUUUAACAAUGUUAAGUGUGUAUCCUGUGUGGAAGAAAGAUUUGUUAAAAAAAAUAACAUUCUUUUCAAAUGAUGCAAUACCUUGGCACUGUCAGGGGGUCAAAUAGAAACACCCUGAGUUAACAGAAACUCAGCCCUGCCCUCUCCUGGCCUGGAAAUACAGAACAAUCAGAUGGAUUGUUGGAGGUGGGAGGAUGGGGAGGAGUGGAAACAUGUUAAUGUUUACUGAGCAAAGUCUUUCCCUGCAGUUGACUGUCACUGAAACACUCAUCAAAGUAAGCAGAUACCACGCGCUGUCGUCUUGUUUUCCUGGAAAGAGAAUGAACAAGUGCCUGUUAACUUAUCAACUUUGUUUUUCGCCUACUAGUAAACAAUGCAAUUUUUUUCCCCUCUGUGUUAAUUCAAUAGCCAGCCUGCCUACAGACCUCUUUGAAGAAAACCAACCUCUUGCUUUAGAAGAUUACUCACUCAAGAUCUCUAGUUCACUGUAUUUUGGCUUAAAUCAUUUUACAGUCACCAACUAAGUACCUUGGUUUGCUGCUUAUUACAAAAUUCAGAGAAGUAUACUACAUGACUGAUCCCUGUGCCGAUUACUCUGUGUCUGCUGGGAAUGCCUCCUCACGUGGAGGGAUAUACAUGGGAAAGGAUAUAUCCACCUUCGUUCUUCUGCUGAAUUUUUUGAAAAAUAUACUUAAAGGAUAACACAAAACUUACCUUAUCUCUUUGUUUCUGCUAAGGGAACAGAACAGUAUGGUUUGUAAUAACAGUAUGUGUUAUGUAUGUGCAUGAAGUGCCUGGGUGGGUUUGACAUAUAUUUGAUGUACAAAGUAUGUAUGAUUUUAUUAGGCUUAAGUAACAAGAAGCAAUUCACUCUUUACUUUUCUUCAGGAAAACGUUUUCUCCAUAACUGAAGUGUCAGUCAUUUGAAAACAAAACGAAACUUCUGAUUGGCAGUAGGCAAAAGCUGUAACUAGUCACUUG
Long non-coding RNA from Capra hircus (goat), 4868 nucleotides. RefSeq lists it as uncharacterized. NCBI's taxonomy places the organism in Eukaryota, Metazoa, Chordata, Mammalia, Artiodactyla, Bovidae. The transcript is spliced from 4 exons. The record is from RefSeq and is a predicted model, not a curated record.